RNAcentral lists this ribosomal RNA (463 nucleotides) under uncultured bacterium. Its description in RNAcentral is "partial 16S ribosomal RNA". It matches the Rfam family "Bacterial small subunit ribosomal RNA", at positions 28 to 507 of the family's 1533-position model. The record is from RNAcentral.
GACGAACGCUGGCGGCGUGCUUAACACAUGCAAGUCGAACGGAGAAGCUCUUCGGAGGGGGUGAGUUGCGAAGGGGUGAGUAAGAGUUGGGCAACAUUCACCUGGCCUUGGGAUUAGUCUGAGAAAAUGAGGCUAAUACUGGUAGUUCAUCGCUUCUCGUACUGGUGGGGGUGGAAAGGGUAUUCGGGUGGGGAUGGGCCCGCGGCCCAUCAGCUUGUUGGGGGGGUAGUGGCCUACCAAGGCGAGGACGGGUAGCCGGCCUGAGAGGGUGACCGGCCACACUGGGACUGAGACACGGCCCAGACUCCUACGGGAGGCAGCAGUGGGGAAUAUUGCGCAAUGGGCGGAAGCCUGACGCAGCGACGCCGCGUGGGGGAUGACGGCCUUCGGGUUGUAAACCGCUUUCGGCAGUGACGAAGCGCAAGUGACGGUACCUGCAAAAGAAGCACCGGCCAACUACGUG